UACGUAGGAGGCAAGCGUUGUCCGGAAUUACUGGGCGUAAAGCGCGUGUAGGUGGUGGGACAAGUCUGCUGUGAAAGCGCCUGGCUUAACCGGGCGAGGUCGGCGGAAACUGUCCGACUCGAGGACGGUAGAGGGGGGUGGAAUUCCCGGUGUAGUGGUGAAAUGCGUAGAGAUCGGGAGGAACACCUGUGGCGAAGGCGGCGACCUGGUCCAUUACUGACGCUGAGGCGCGAUAGCGUGGGGAGCAAACAGG
Molecule: ribosomal RNA, 253 nt
Filed under: uncultured bacterium
Lineage: Bacteria
Description: partial 16S ribosomal RNA
Rfam family: Bacterial small subunit ribosomal RNA
Source: RNAcentral